This 468-nucleotide ribosomal RNA is filed under the name uncultured bacterium. Its description in RNAcentral is "partial 16S ribosomal RNA". It matches the Rfam family "Bacterial small subunit ribosomal RNA", at positions 28 to 507 of the family's 1533-position model. The record is from RNAcentral.
GACGAACGCUGGCGGCGUGCUUAACACAUGCAAGUCGAACGGAAAGGCCCUGCUUUUGUGGGGUGCUCGAGUGGCGAACGGGUGAGUAACACGUGAGUAACCUGCCCUUGACUUUGGGAUAACUUCAGGAAACUGGGGCUAAUACCGGAUAGGAGCUCCUGCUGCAUGGUGGGGGUGGGAAAGUUUCGGCGGGUGGGGAUGGACUCGCGGCUUAUCAGCUUGUUGGUGGGGUAGUGGCUUACCAAGGCUUUGACGGGUAGCCGGCCGGAGAGGGUGACCGGCCACAUUGGGACUGGGAUACGGCCCGGCCUCCUACGGGAGGCAGCGGUGGGGAAUAUUGCACAAUGGGCGGAAGCCUGAUGCAGCAACGCCGCGUGCGGGAUGACGGCCUUCGGGUUGUAAACCGCUUUCGCCUGUGACGAAGCGUGAGUGACGGUAAUGGGUAAAGAAGCACCGGCUAACUACGUG